ACCACGGUUCCUGUGCAUUCAGAGAAGUAGAAAUGGAAAAUAAAUGGCUUUUAUAUUGCAGAGCACAAGUAUUUCCCCUCAUCUUAAUAAUGCCUUUGCCUUUUGGUUGAAGAAGAAACGAGAAAUAAUAAUGCCACCUUUAUUUUGAGAUGUGGGCUCAUUUGGUGCAUGUGAAUAAGUGAGUCUAAUUUUAUUUUACUUAUUUUUGUUGGCUUUGAUAUUCAUGAAGCAGUGGGAAAACCAAGUGGGGAAGCUUACAGGGUCAAUAUGCAAACAAAUUCAUUUAUCUUUUUUUAAGAGGUUGAUAAACCCUUGAGGGUGAAGCAUGGCUUUAUGAAUAUUGAUAUCAAGGAAAGCAUUAAAAGAGAUUAGUUCAACUUUGCAAGGCAAUGUAAAUUUUCAGCUGGUCUUCCCUUCCCAGCAUAGUUAUAAAGAAAAGUAGUUGGGUCCAAAGCUUGAUAUCUAAAGGUAGUUGUAAAAUUAUUGCCUGAAGGGGAUGGAUAAAGCAUUGUUUAACCACUGUAAACAGGGCAAAAUUUGACGUGAUUUCUACUUCUCGUUUCACUCGUCAAAGAGGUUCUAGACCUGCAAAUUAUUUGAAGUGGUUGUUUUUGUUGUUGUUGUUGUAUAGGACCAAAGGGAGGCAGUUCCUUGAUAAAGCUGGUAGCAGAGCCAAGAUCAAAAAAUAAGUUUCUCAACUCCUGGCCAGACUAUUUUGAUCUGCACCUGUUCCUAUAAGCCUAUGACAAUGCAAGUCUGCAAAAGUAGGAAGGCAAAUGAUGACAUUAGAAUAAAAGGUGGUCGUUCUGAACAUAUAUUUUCAUUAGACACGUGCUAGCUAUAUACAGGGUUAUAGAGAUACUGCUUUUUCAGUGGGUGACUGAGAUCAGGCUUACAGGAUCUUAUAUUAAUCUAAUAAGUAAUAUUAUUUUCCCUAUUACCCUUUUUAGUGUUAUCAGAAUCACAAAUGCCAGUAACUCUGUUCCAGAUACCAUGCCAAGAUCCUUGCCAUAUGAUCUAUCCCUUUAAUUCUCUCAACAGCAUCAUAGCCCAUACCAAGUCUGUGAGAUAAAAUGCCCAAGGCUCUAUGAAGCCCCACCAGUGCCUUGCUUUCUGCGGUGGACGUGCUCUUGAGUGCCUGCCAGUGAAGGGAGUUGUAUGGAGAGACAUGUUUUAAAGGAAACCACCAGACAACCCUGUGAUUCACCUCGCAAAUGAUUCCUAUCAAAAACAGAGAUGUAACUGGGAGCUCUUUGAUUUUCUGUCAUCUAAGACUUUUCUUUUACCUCUGGCUUUGGUUGAUGUACAUGUGUGAGCACCUUAAACCCCUUAAAGAGAUAAUCCUGCAAAGGCGGAGAUGGAUGACUAGUUCUCAGUGAGAAGCAUGUGCACCAUUGGUAGAACACAGGUGUCAUAGAGGAAUUUCCUUUUGUAAAGGUAGAUAUCUCCAAAACAGGGAGACGCUGGCAUGUUAUAGGCAUUUAAUAAAGAUUUACCAAGCUGAAUUGUA
Long non-coding RNA from Phacochoerus africanus (Common warthog), 1510 nucleotides. RefSeq lists it as uncharacterized. Lineage: Eukaryota; Metazoa; Chordata; Mammalia; Artiodactyla; Suidae. The record is from RefSeq and is a predicted model, not a curated record. The transcript is spliced from 2 exons.